CAGAAGACAACCGCAUUGCUGAACGGCAUGGAGAGUUUAAUGCAAUGGUCCAAAAAAGAGCCCAUCAACCAAAAGAAGAACUUUGGGUUACCAAUGGCGGCAGUUGUGGACUAUGCAAGCAAAUGCGUCAAGUGCAAUCAAAUGAUCCCAAACUGGACACUUUAUCUGAAGGGAUCAGAGCUGAUCGGUGAUGCGUUCAGAUGCACGUUCAUUAUCUAUGGUGUACGAUGAUCGCGCAGAUUUCAUACCCUUUGAAAAUGCAAAAGGAAUGUGAUGCUUUAUCUCUAUCUUCACGACAAAUAUAAUGUUGUUC
Molecule: long non-coding RNA, 313 nt
Filed under: Mytilus galloprovincialis (Mediterranean mussel)
Lineage: Eukaryota; Metazoa; Mollusca; Bivalvia; Mytilida; Mytilidae
Source: RNAcentral